RNAcentral lists this long non-coding RNA (2058 nucleotides) under Oryza brachyantha (malo sina). RNAcentral's name for it is "long non-coding RNA (OBRA_LNC002928)". Lineage: Eukaryota; Viridiplantae; Streptophyta; Magnoliopsida; Poales; Poaceae. The record is from RNAcentral.
GUGACGGCGCCGCUGCCGCGAACAACAGGCGGCACAGAGCAGCGCUGCCGGGGAGCAUAUCUCGAUCUCCAUCUGACAUGUGGGGUCAUAAAAGAAAAUUGUGAAUGGAUUUUAGCAAAUGAGAAAAUGGGUGGAAGUGGCAUGGAAAGAAGUAAAUCCCGCUGCUCGCCUGCUCGGCAGCGGUAAAAUCUGAAGAUAAGACCAAUUGAGAGGUAAAUGUUGAAGGCGGUGAAAAUUGGAUUAUAUAUUGUGAAAUUUCUCGCUCGCGGGAGGAGUCGUCGUGUCGGUGACCGACCUGGUCCGGACCGGCGGCGAUGGGGGCGAGACGGAGGAGAGGAGAGAUUUUCAUCUCCAGUUCCGGUCAUCGUGUUCGCUUGAGGUGCCGCCGCAGAGUCUUAUUCUCCGGGCCACCGUCCACCGCCGCCGGGGCAGUCCUAGGUCGAUCGGCGGACGGAGCCGCAUUGCCGAUGACUGAAGCACGCCGCCGCGAUCCAUCCCCGUCAAUCAGUCAGGUGCACCCCCCGCCCCCCCCUCCUCAGCCAUUCGCCACACCCACGCACAGACGACCCCUACCAUGCCGUUGCCGCCGAUUGGAAACCCUAGUUUGGAUAUGGGCCGGCUUUACUUUGUCGAUGAGACGAAAACGAUGCAGGUUAGCAUGAUUCUCAGUUUACUUAGUUUGAAUGUUUGAUUUGCGGUUAUCUGCAACUUAGUGUAGGAUGGAUGUAGUUGGGUUUGUAGUUCCUAACCCUGUCAGAAAUUGCUUCAAAAAAUCCACAGAGCACAUGUGGGGAUUUGUUUGUCCAGGACACAACUCUGACUACUAUUAUGCAUGAUCCUUGGAAUCGUCGCUAAUCGAUGCAGGGCUUUCCGCAACCCAAAUUGAUGAUUUUAUUGAUGGUUUUGGCCUUUUGGGUUCUUAUCUUGAGAUAUAAGGAGUUAAAGGAGGUUAGAGCAGGUUAGUUAAACACACAUUUGUGUACAAGGUUUGGCAAACUUAAGGAACAUAUGGCGUAUAAUGCGAGCCAAAAAUGUCUGCUCUAGUGAAGCUGGUGCUCGAUCAUAGUGUGACCAGUUGCUCAGUCAGACACGAAAUGGAAACUGCUUCUCUUGAACAAGCAUUGUAGCAACCACGUACCGUAACUUCUUUUAUGGUUUGCUGCUGCUGCUUGCUUAAUAGGACGCUUCUGGAAAUUUCUGAAUUUGUAGGUAAUAAUGCUUGGGGGUGUAACUGACUGUACUAAAAUUACCUAUGAAUAAAAAUCAAACUAGAAUAAAACAGGCCAGGUCAUGAGCCAUUUGCUCUACCUGACUGCAAGGUUAACCAUGAGUAUUUUACACACCUUGACCCAAAACACACACACACACACAGAACAAACAAUCCUGAGCACCCAUCUUAAUAAUCUCCUCACAGGAGGGAGGGCAAGACCACAAGAGUACAGCUAAUCUGAAUGCACAAGGAGAUACUAGAAUAUAUAAAAACAAUUAAACUAUAUAAAUCACACAGUAGCAUCAUACACACUAUUGUUAUUCAAAUCCAAAGGGUUUAACAUUUGCAGUGACCAAUACAAUCACAAUCCACACACAACAAUAUACUUAGUUUGGUUCACUAGAAAUUCUCAAUCGCACACCAUGUUCAAACAGCAACCACACUUCCACACUGGUCACAAUCAGCAGCAAAACAAAUACAAAUUGUCUGGAUGAAAUGAAGGGUUGGAAAUAUACCAAAACUCCUCGCAGAAAAAAAAAAUAUUAGUGAAUAUGUAGUGGAAGCAGAGCUCAUGCACCAGGGGAGUUGAGGAUGUAGGAGGAUUAAUUAGCCACCAUGCUUGCUAACUUCCUGAAUUUCUCCACCACCAUCCUCAAGGUCACCAGCAAGUUGGCGGCUGGUGGACCAGAGGUGGAUAUUGUGAACUUGGGCAUCUGAUGGUCCAGUCGUCUCUUGACUUUCUGCGGCAGGUUGCUGGGUGGUUUGCUCAGAUGGUCCAGGAACCAAAUCUGACGGUGCCACAUCCCACAGUUCACUCUUGUCGAUGCCGCAGUGUGAGAAGAGUGCCC